GCCGGGCGCCGUGGCUUGUGCCUGUGAUCCCCGCUGCUGGGGAGGCUGAGGCCGGCGGAUCGCUUGAGCUCAGGAGUUCUGGGCUGCAGGGGGCUGUGCCGAGCGGGUGUCCACACUAAGUUCGGCAUCGAUAUGGUGAUCCCUGGGGAGCUUCGGGUCACCAGGUUGCCUAAGGAG
RNAcentral lists this small RNA (177 nucleotides) under Terrapene triunguis (Three-toed box turtle). RNAcentral's name for it is "Terrapene carolina triunguis (Three-toed box turtle) Metazoan signal recognition particle RNA (ENSTMTG00000019558.1)". It matches the Rfam family "Metazoan signal recognition particle RNA", at positions 1 to 176 of the family's 299-position model. Rfam says of the family: The signal recognition particle (SRP) is a universally conserved ribonucleoprotein. Lineage: Eukaryota; Metazoa; Chordata; Testudines; Emydidae. The record is from Rfam by way of RNAcentral.